This 371-nucleotide ribosomal RNA is filed under the name uncultured bacterium. RNAcentral's name for it is "bacterial SSU rRNA". It matches the Rfam family "Bacterial small subunit ribosomal RNA", at positions 527 to 896 of the family's 1533-position model. The record is from RNAcentral.
GGGGGGAGCAAGCGUUGUUCGGAAUCACUGGGCGUAAAGGGAGUCUAGGCGGUUUGGUAAGUGGGAUGUGAAAUGCCCGGGCUCACCCCGGGACCUGCAUCCCAGACUGCUGAGCUUGAGUACAGGAGAGGGUGGGGGAAUUCCAGGUGUAGCGGUGAAAUGCGUAGAUAUCUGGAGGAACACCGGUGGCGAAGGCGCCCACCUGGCCUGCUACUGACKCUGAAGCUCGAAAGCUAGGGGAGCAAACGGGAUUAGAUACCCCGGUAGUCCUAGCCGUAAACGGUGAUCACWASGUGUUGGGAGCAUCGACCCUUCCAGUGCCGCAGCUAACSCAUUWAGUGAUCCGCCUGGGGAGUACGGCCKCAAGGUUG